GGGCACUUGGCGCAGUGGUAGCGCGCCCGCUUUGCAUUGUGACAUCUCAGGUGUAACACCCUUUGCGGAAGGCCGUGGGUUCAAUCCCCACAGUGUCCA
Phlebiopsis gigantea 11061_1 CR5-6 is the source of this 99-nucleotide transfer RNA. It matches the Rfam family "tRNA". Rfam says of the family: Transfer RNA (tRNA) molecules are approximately 80 nucleotides in length. Their secondary structure includes four short double-helical elements and three loops (D, anti-codon, and T loops). Lineage: Eukaryota; Fungi; Basidiomycota; Agaricomycetes; Polyporales; Phanerochaetaceae. The record is from Rfam.